RNAcentral lists this transfer RNA (73 nucleotides) under Felis catus (domestic cat). It matches the Rfam family "tRNA". Rfam says of the family: Transfer RNA (tRNA) molecules are approximately 80 nucleotides in length. Their secondary structure includes four short double-helical elements and three loops (D, anti-codon, and T loops). RNAcentral also lists the same sequence under 6 other names. The record is from Rfam by way of RNAcentral. Lineage: Eukaryota; Metazoa; Chordata; Mammalia; Carnivora; Felidae.
GCCUGGCUGGCUCAGUUGGUAGAGCAUGUGACUCUUGAUCUCAGGAUGAUGAGUUCAAGCCCCACAUUGGGCG